GCUAUCUUACAUCAAUAACAGCACUUCAUCAAUGCUGAGGCAUUAUAGAGCUCGGCAUGGCAAUGAAGAAUUUGCAGAUACUCGUGAGAGUACCCCAGUUCCUAACAAGCAAGCAGUGGAUGAGGCAGUGGUCAAUAUGAUCAUCAAAGACUGUCAGCCACUCAGCUUUGUUGAAAAUGAGGGAUUCAGGGAGCUCCUGUAUCACCUGUUUAUUAUCAUGUGAUAAUAAAGUAAUGAUUAACUAUUUUUUUAGGGCACAUUCUCUGGAAAACAUUAGAUCUGGAGGUUGCAGAGACCCAGAAGACGAGGAACGCAACAGUUGACUCAAUUAUUGAAGUCCAACGCUACCUGGCAGAAACAAACACACCCAGAAACCAAGAUCCUUUGCAAUAUUGGAAAUUGAACCAGGAAAUAUACCCACAUCUUCAUCAACUUGCACUUAAAACUCUCUGCUCACCAUCAUCGUCUGUUCCAUGCAAAAGAGUAUUUUCCAAGGCUGGGGAGCUGGUGUGUAAGAGGAGAAAUCGCCUUGGAGCAAAGAGACUCCAAAAACUUUUGUUCCUCAAUAAAAAUUCAUGAACUAA
Molecule: non-coding RNA, 584 nt
Organism: Oryzias latipes (Japanese medaka)
Lineage: Eukaryota; Metazoa; Chordata; Actinopteri; Beloniformes; Adrianichthyidae
Source: RefSeq, a predicted model, not a curated record